CUUUGAAGAUUAGCACCGUACAGACCGUCUCUUUUUGCCUACACCGAAGCUGAAGCAACAGAUUGUAUCUGUGUCACAGAUACAUACUGAUCUGAGUUAUAAUUGGUUAUGUAGCCCAGACAUGUGUUAAGAUCCCAGAGAACAUUGAAGUUCCCGUUGGGGAUUACGUCUUCUAUCAUUCCUCUGAACACCUGCAGGUCCCUCACACAACAAUGGCGUGCUUGGAUGUGGGUCUAUCUACCCAUAUUUACUUCACUUCUUCAAGCACAUCUCUUUGUCUUCCAUAAACCUCUGUGCUCAUCUGCUCAUCCCUCCUUCUUUCUCAGGGAGUUUCUUGUGAGAGUUACAUGUCUAAGACCCAUUAAUACUAAAAGCUGUUGACAUAUAGUGAAAUUCCUCUUUCUGGCGACGGGUAAUUCAAUGCUAGAAACCAUUUAUCUUCCUACAAGGCCGUUCUUAUUCUGUUUAAACUCUGUUGCAGACAGAAAGGUGUUUCUAAGAGUGGGUAUAAAUGGUGCAACGGAGGAAAAAGUCAUAAAGUAGAUGAGAGAAUGAGGACGACCUGCAGAGAGUGUGUGAGUGAGAAACCCUGAGAGGUGAUUACAGUGUCAUAAUCAUGCAGGCAUGUACAGGGGUGUACAUACAUGAAGUGAUGACAUGAACAAGUACACAUUACAAAUGUAACGUGUCCACACCAUGGCAACCACAAGGAUAAAUUGUUGCUCACAAGGGUGGAUGGCUUCCCUCAUAUCUUCAGGUUGGGGUUAGAGAUGGAUCUGCUGCCAGGAUGCUGUAUGUGCACAUGUUUUUAAUUAACUUACUUUCCCACUAUUCAAACUAUUGGGCUCUUGAGUGCUGAAAAUAUUCAUUUACAGUCCUCAGAGUCAAAUUCUUUCCAUCUGUGACAAUAUCUCUGCAGCACAAAUUAAGCAAUCAGUGCGUAAUUAAGUAAUUCUUCUGAGUCAGACUUUCAACUUAAGGUGGAAAUUAUCUCUGUCAAUCAUCUCACCACAUCGUGUAAUGAAAAGCACACAGUGGAGGACCAGGCUCUGAUUAGAUGGGAUAUAAUCGGGUCAGAGGAGUGUGAGAUAAUGAAAGUGAGAGUUGUUCUGCUGUCGUCCCGUAUGUUCAGGGUCCUGUGGGACUCAAACAGGCCUGUUAAACUUUAUUAGAGUGAACAGGCUUCCCGAGUCCACACAACACCGGGCCUGGGAGAAAAACCCACAAACAGAGGCCAUAAACAUAAACACAACAACAGACUAUUGUCUCUGCCAGUGGGGGAAUGAACGGAUGACAGGAUGGAUGGAUGGAUGGAUGGAUGGAUGGAUGAAUGAAUGAGGGUCCUGUUCUCUGCUCAUCUAGGCUGCUCAGAUAAUGCCAGUGCAAAGAUAUGGGUGUAAUUUUAGGUAAAAGUCCCGCUCCGAUUGUUUUUUUUUUACUACUUAAAGUGUAUCAAUGGUUUAAAUUGUGAUUGUGAAGUUUUUAUCCAAAAUGAUGUUACCUGUGCUGUUUUCAAGGGGUUUUCCUCUUUAGCAAUUUACCUCUGAGUUGUGGGCGUAGACCAGGGGUGUCAAAGUCAAAUGGAGGAAGGGCCAAAUAAAAAAUUUAGCUACAAGCCGAGGGCCGGACUGAUAGAAUGUUCAUUGAAAAUUUUUUAAAUGACGCAUAUAGUCUAGUGAACCUAAUUGAACCUACUGAAAACCUAACAAAUAUAUUCCAAUAUGAUCAGAUAAAUAAAGCAAUAUUUUCUUAUGGCUCUGUCAGUAAUCUUUAAUUUUCAACAGACACAAAAGACAAAUUUCCUUUAUAUAAAAAUCCCCAUAACAUGAACAUUAAAUGAAAGAAACCGGUAUUAUUCAAGUCACCAUCAGUAGCCUAUAUUUUCUAUUUUAGCAAAAGUGGGCUAAAUUUACUUCAAAGAAAAAAAUAAUAAUAGCAAUUUUCUAUCAUCCAUUUUUGAACAGAGCCUGUCGAGAUUUGAGGCCUCGUUUUAAUUCCUCGGCCUUCUGUAGCCUUUGUUCCAUGUCCAUAUUCUUGUUUUUGUCCGCGUGUUUCGUUUCAUAAUGUCUUCUCAGAUUAUACUCUUUCAGUACCGCCACACUUUCUCCACACAGAAGACACACAGGUUUUCCAGCUACCUCCGUGAACAUACACUCCGACUCCCACCUUGUUUGAAACCCCCGGUUCUCAGUGUCCACCUUCCGUUUUGCCAUUUUUGAUGGGUAUCUGAAAGUUAAUUUUACUGUUAUGCUGACCACUGCUUUGCUAAUAAAUAUUGAAAUGAAGCAGCCUACUGCUCGGUGCGUCACCGUUGCAUUGUGGGAAAUGUAGUUUUGGUGCGUGUAAAAGAUCUGCGGGCUGCCGGCUUGCUGCGGUCUGCGGGCCGGUUCUAAUAAUAAAUCAAGAUCAUCCCAGGGGCCGUAAAAAACCUUCUCGCGGGCCACAUCCGGCCCGCGGGCCUUGACUCUGACAUAUGUGGCGUAGACAGUGCUGCUCUGCACACUCAUCUUCACGCUAGCUUGCAGCCUAACAUUGCCGGUGUAGUUGAAGUAGCAGGUAACAUAGCAGUUAUUCAGCUCUCUGACAUGAAUGUCUUUGGCAUGGUGAAAGCUAACAGCAUAAUUAGCUUUCUUACAAGCAUUGCAAUCCACUAACGAACACGCUUGGUUCGAGAUCGUCCUCUCUACUUUUCCGAGUGUGGCCUCCAGGGGCGGAGCUUGGAUUUGCGACGUUGGAAAUCUCACUAAAUUUGAACCUGCCGUUUGGGUCUGCCAGAGAUUCACAGCGAUUUGAAUGAAGAAAUACUCAGAAAUGCAAAUUUGCACUUAUUUUUCUCAUGAUAUGUCCUGUAGCAUCAGAAAAAUGCUGUAUGAACAUGUAAACAACAAGAAAAACAUGAUUUUCAGCGGAGUUGGUCUUUGAGAUUAGAGGUGUAAUGGUAUCAUGAUCUCAUAGUCUGGUUGUAUCAUCGUAUCAGUCUGUAUUUAUUGUUGUAUUUAAAAAAAAAACUACACACAAAAAUGCCAUUUACAUUCAUGGUUAUAUUCUUGCUUAAGGCUCUGUGUAACUUUAGCCUUUGUGUCAUUGUAGAGGGCUGCUCACAGUGUUUAAAUGAAGAGUGGCUGUGACAGGUAUUAAUACUUAAGCUCUAGUGUGUUUCCUAAUCUUCAAUCCUCCAUUGUCAAC
Molecule: long non-coding RNA, 3186 nt
Filed under: Xyrichtys novacula (pearly razorfish)
Lineage: Eukaryota; Metazoa; Chordata; Actinopteri; Labriformes; Labridae
Source: RNAcentral